RNAcentral lists this unclassified non-coding RNA (3989 nucleotides) under Hevea brasiliensis (rubber tree). Lineage: Eukaryota; Viridiplantae; Streptophyta; Magnoliopsida; Malpighiales; Euphorbiaceae. The record is from RNAcentral.
UUUCAAUUUUCUACUCUCUUAUAAUUCGCCCCUGAAACGUUCACCCAUCUCCUUCUCAGGUCUCACCUCACUCUUUCCUCUCCUUUCUCCCUCUCCACUCUAUACUCUGCAGCCACCAUUAACAGACAAUAACAGCUAUGCUUCUCUUUCUCCUUCCUUUCCUUUUCCUGCUCUCUCCUUCCCCCUCCUUUUCUCUCAACCAAGAAGGUCUCUACCUCCACCAAGUCAAGCUCUCUCUCUCUGACGCUGACUCCACCCUCUCCUCCUGGUCCGACCGCGACACCACCCCUUGUUCAUGGUUCGGCGUCAGCUGCGACCCUAAAACCAACUCCGUCACUUCCAUCGACCUUUCCAACUCCAACAUAGGCGGCCCAUUUCCUUCACUCCUCUGCCGCCUCCAGAACCUCACUUCCAUUUCCUUCUACAAUAACUUCAUUAAUGAUACUCUCCCUCUUGACAUUUCCUCCUGCCAGUAUCUUCACCACCUCGAUCUCGCUCAGAACUACCUCACUGGUACACUCCCUCACACCUUAGCCGAUCUCCCCAACCUCAGGUAUCUCGACCUCACCGGUAACAACUUCUCCGGAGAUAUUCCUGAGUCUUUUGGUCGCUUUCAAAAACUGGAGGCUAUUUCUCUCGUCUAUAAUCUGUUUGAUGGGAUAAUACCUGCAUUUUUGGGCAACAUUACUACUCUAAAGAUGCUGAAUUUGUCUUACAAUCCUUUUUCUCCGGGUCGGAUCCCCCCGGAGCUUGGGAACUUGACCAACCUGGAGAUUUUGUGGCUCACUGAAUGUAAUUUAGUGGGUGAAAUUCCUGACUCUCUAGGUCGACUCAAGAACCUCAAGGAUUUGGACGUUGCAGUUAAUAAUUUAGUCGGCAACAUCCCGAUUUCACUCACUGAGUUGACUAGCGUGUUUCAAAUCGAGCUCUAUAACAACUCGCUGACUGGUGAGUUGCCACGAGGCUUGGGAAAUUUGACAUCAUUGAGACUGCUUGAUGCGUCUAUGAACGACUUGACUGGGCCGAUUCCUGACGAGUUAUGCCGGUUACCAUUAGAGAGUCUCAAUCUCUACGAGAAUCAAUUCGAAGGGAAUUUGCCUGCAAGCAUUGCGAACUCGCCGCGAUUAUACGAACUCAGGCUGUUUCGUAACAGACUCACCGGCGAGUUGCCCCAAAAUCUUGGCAAAAACUCACCGCUGAGAUGGCUUGACGUGUCAAGCAACAAAUUCACCGGCGAAAUCCCUGCGACUUUGUGUGCGAAGGGCGAGUUAGAGGAGAUGCUAAUGAUAUACAAUUCAUUUUCGGGUCAAAUACCUCAAAGUUUAAGUGACUGCCAGAGCUUGGCCCGAGUCCGCUUAGGGCACAACCAGCUGUCCGGUGAAGUGCCAUCUGGGUUCUGGGGCCUGCCUCAUGUGUACCUUGUUGAGCUUGUUAACAAUUCAUUCUCCGGUCCAAUUGCUAAGACCAUAGCAAGUGCAGCAAAUUUGUCACUCUUGAUUUUAGAUAAUAAUCUUUUCAAUGGAAGCAUACCAGAGGAGAUUGGCUGGUUAGAGAAUCUUGGGUCUUUCUCUGGAAGUGAAAAUGAAUUCAGUGGACCGUUGCCCGUGAGUAUAGUAAAUCUGAAGCAGCUAGGAAGCCUGGAUCUUCAUGGUAAUUUGCUUUCUGGUGAGCUGCCAUCCGGGAUUGAUUCAUGGAAGAAAAUGAAUGAGCUCAAUUUGGCUAAUAACGAGUUUUCGGGUCAGAUUCCGGAGGGAAUUGGAAAGCUGCCUGUGCUUAAUUAUCUUGAUUUGUCUAGCAACCGGUUUUCUGGGAAAAUCCCACUGAGCUUGCAGAACUUAAAGUUGAAUCAGCUCAAUCUAUCAUACAACAGGCUAUCUGGGGAGAUUCCACCUCUGUUUGCUAAGGAAAUGUACAGAAGUAGCUUUCUUGGGAAUCCUGGCUUAUGUGGAGAUAUUGAAGGUCUAUGCGAUGGGAGAGAUAAAGGGAAAGGCGAAGGUGGUGCCUGGCUGCUGAAGUCCAUUUUUAUACUUGCUGCUCUUGUUCUUGUUAUUGGUGUGGUUUGGUUCUAUUUCAAGUACAGGACUUUCAAGAACGCAAGAGCUAUUGACAAGUCAAAAUGGAUAUUAAUGUCGUUUCACAAAUUGGGUUUUAGUGAAUACGAGAUCUUGGCAUCUCUUGAUGAGGAUAACGUAAUAGGAAGCGGGUCGUCAGGGAAAGUCUACAAGGUUGUGCUUAGCAAUGGCGAAGCAGUUGCGGUGAAGAAGCUCUGGGGAGGGGUCAAAAAGGAGAGUGAUGAAAGCGACGUUGAGAAAGGUCAGUUCCAGGACGAUGGGUUUGAAGCAGAGGUUGAGACUUUGGGUAAGAUUAGGCAUAAGAACAUUGUUAAGCUAUGGUGUUGCUGCACCACUAGAGACUGUAAACUUUUGGUAUACGAGUACAUGCCUAACGGUAGCUUGGGUGACUUGUUGCAUGGUAGUAAGGGAGGUUUGCUAGAUUGGCCAACAAGGUAUAAGAUCCUUUUAGAUGCAGCUGAGGGGCUUUCCUAUUUGCAUCACGAUUGUGUACCUCCAAUUGUGCAUAGAGAUGUUAAGUCCAACAAUAUUUUGUUGGAUGGGGAUUUCGGAGCUCGGGUGGCUGAUUUUGGUGUAGCCAAGGUGGUUGAUUCCACCACCGGAAAGCCUAAGUCCAUGUCUAUCAUUGCAGGGUCUUGUGGUUACAUUGCUCCAGGUUAGUAAUCAUCCUUCUUCUUAACAAGUUUUGGGUUUUUAUGGGUUGCAAAAUUGGAAUUGAUUUGUGGUGAUCUUUUUGAAAUAUUCAUCUCAUUUGAAUUUUAAUUCUGUUUAAAUACCCUGUAAUUAGUGAUCAUGUGCAUACUUUUCUUUAUCAUCUACUCGAAAAGUUAUGCCUUGGAGCUAGCUACUGAGUGUGCUUUACCAGUUAAGGCCUGGCUGAUUUGUCCUUUUUAAUAUGCACUCUAAUUAUCCUGGAGAUAUUAAUUUAGAUAUUUGAUUUCCAGUUCAUUUAUAAAUACUGCCAAUGCAUAAUAAGUGUUCAUAGAACUUUAGUUGAAAAGUUGGAGUACAAUUAGCAUCUGUGAUGUAGAUUCCUUGCAAGCUUUUCUUGCAAAUAUAUUGUGGUUUCUUUUCCAUCUGUAAUAAUUUCAACUGAAUUUAAAAAUAAUUCCUUUUUUGUGUUCACAUAUUGCAGAGUAUGCUUACACACUUCGAGUGAAUGAAAAGAGUGAUAUCUACAGCUUUGGUGUGGUUAUUCUGGAGUUGGUCACAAGGAAACUUCCGGUUGAUCCAGAGUUAGGCGAGAAGGACUUGGUGAAGUGGGUAUGCACCACUCUAGAUCAGAAAGGAGUGGACCAUGUUAUUGAUCCCAAAUUGGAUUCUUGUUUCAAGGAAGAGAUAUGCAAGGUCCUCAACAUUGGCAUUCACUGUACUAGUCCUCUACCCGUCAACCGUCCGUCCAUGAGAAGGGUGGUAAAAAUGCUGCAAGAAGUUAGACCAGAGAACAUCCCCAAGACUGCUAAAAAAGACGGGAAAUUGACACCCUAUUACUAUGAAGAUGCCUCAGAUCAUGGAAGUUUAGCUUGAGAAUUACAAUAAAUUAAAUUUUGGUUUCCAACUUGCGAUUUUGAAGGAGUUGACACACAGACAAGCUCCAAUUUUCUUGUUCUAGGGCCAUAACUUCCCAGUUUGCUUUACAAAAUGAGGAAAGAGAGUGAAAAAUGAGAAGUAAGGAAUUUGUUAAGUUUUUUAAUGAGAUUGUUGUUAAAUUCCUUUACGAUGUAAAGUAAUUUUUCCUGAAAUUCUGCAUAAAAUGGCGUCCUGCCCUUCGUGUAAGAUCAUUGUUGAAAGUGAUGCUUUUACAGAGUUUACUGCUCUAAUGCCUCAACUUGAUUUUUCUUGAAAAUGGUGGGGCUUUUCUUGGCUGGCACUAUUGAAAUCUGCUUUUAUGGAAUGGGAUAUAGCAGCAAUACGGAA